AGCGAACGUUGGCGGCGUGCUUAACACAUGCAAGUCUAAGGGGAAAAGGGGGCAACUCCUGAGUACACUGGCGCACGGGUGAGGAACACGUGAGUAAUCAACCUUCCAGACUGGGAUAACCUGCCGAAAGGCGGGCUAAUACCAGAUAGUUUGCCUCUUCCUUCGGGUGGAGUCAAUAAAGACGGGUUUCUGUCACUGGGAGACGAGCUCGCGUCCCAUUAGCUAGUUGGAGAGGUAACGGCUCACCAAGGCAACGAUGGGUAGCUGGUUUGAGAGAAUGAUCAGCCACACUGGCACUGGAACACGGGCCAGACUCCUACGGGAGGCAGCAGUGAGGAAUAUUGCGCAAUGGGCGAAAGCCUGACGCAGCGACGCCGCGUGAGGGAUGAAGGCCUUCGGGUCGUAAACCUCUGUCAGAAGGGACGAAAAUGCGCCAUUUAACUGAUGGUGAACUGACGGUACCUUCGAAGGAAGCACCGGCUAACUCCGUG
RNAcentral lists this ribosomal RNA (491 nucleotides) under uncultured organism. RNAcentral describes it as "bacterial SSU rRNA". It matches the Rfam family "Bacterial small subunit ribosomal RNA", at positions 29 to 507 of the family's 1533-position model. The record is from RNAcentral.